Macrosteles quadrilineatus (aster leafhopper) is the source of this 67-nucleotide non-coding RNA. The record is from the annotation of a RefSeq genome assembly. Lineage: Eukaryota; Metazoa; Arthropoda; Insecta; Hemiptera; Cicadellidae.
AAGACUUUAAGUUAAUAUAAAACUUAUAACCUUCAAAGUUAAAAAUAUUCAUUUGGAGUAAGUCUUA